GACGAACGCUGGCGGCGUGCCUAAUACGUGCAAGUAGAACGCUGAAGGAGGAGCUUGCUUCUCCGGAUGAGUUGCGAACGGGUGAGUAACGCGUAGGUAACCUGCCUGGUAGCGGGGGAUAACUAUUGGAAACGAUAGCUAAUACCGCAUAAGAGUAGAUGUUGCAUGACAUUUACUUAAAAGGUGCAAUUGCAUCACUACCAGAUGGACCUGCGUUGUAUUAGCUAGUUGGUGGGGUAACGGCUCACCAAGGCGACGAUACAUAGCCGACCUGAGAGGGUGAUCGGCCACACUGGGACUGAGACACGGCCCAGACUCCUACGGGAGGCAGCAGUAGGGAAUCUUCGGCAAUGGACGGAAGUCUGACCGAGCAACGCCGCGUGAGUGAAGAAGGUUUUCGGAUCGUAAAGCUCUGUUGUAAGAGAAGAACGAGUGUGAGAGUGGAAAGUUCACACUGUGACGGUAUCUUACCAGAAAGGGACGGCUAACUACGUGCCAGCAGCCGCGGUAAUACGUAGGUCCCGAGCGUUGUCCGGAUUUAUUGGGCGUAAAGCGAGCGCAGGCGGUUAGAUAAGUCUGAAGUUAAAGGCUGUGGCUUAACCAUAGUACGCUUUGGAAACUGUUUAACUUGAGUGCAAGAGGGGAGAGUGGAAUUCCAUGUGUAGCGGUGAAAUGCGUAGAUAUAUGGAGGAACACCGGUGGCGAAAGCGGCUCUCUGGCUUGUAACUGACGCUGAGGCUCGAAAGCGUGGGGAGCAAACAGG
RNAcentral lists this ribosomal RNA (763 nucleotides) under uncultured Streptococcus sp. RNAcentral's name for it is "bacterial SSU rRNA". It matches the Rfam family "Bacterial small subunit ribosomal RNA", at positions 28 to 776 of the family's 1533-position model. The record is from RNAcentral. Lineage: Bacteria; Bacillati; Bacillota; Bacilli; Lactobacillales; Streptococcaceae.